Molecule: long non-coding RNA, 609 nt
Filed under: Canis lupus familiaris (dog)
Lineage: Eukaryota; Metazoa; Chordata; Mammalia; Carnivora; Canidae
Description: lncRNA (ENSCAFG00040000316.1)
Source: RNAcentral
AUGCCAUGGUGGCAUAAUUUGGGGUGGCCUGCCCUGAGCCCAUUAUUGCCACAGGAAUGCCAGCAUGUUACAUCAUUAUUUGAACUGAAAAAUGAAAUCGGACUUUUUCUAACAGGAAAUAAAUCUUGUGUGGCUGGUUUGUGUGAUAGUGUGGGGUAUGAAGAGAAUUAUAGAAGACUCCAAGGUGGGAAGAGGAGAAGAAAAAUAAACUGGACUUUCUAUCCAUCAUGCUGUCAGACAGAGUCCAUGAUGGCUGGUUACCCAUCACAUACCAGUUGUUGGUGCAAUCCGGUCGUGCCUGAGUUAGCAAGUUCCCCAUCUAACCGUGGCGGGAGCCUCAGCUGGAGCAUUUGGGUACAGGCUGCAGCUGACAAGAUGACACUGUGCCCCCACUGUACACAAAUGAAGGACAGACUAUCCGAAGCUACCCACAGCUCUGAUAGUCUGGGGUUCUACAGCUCAGUGAAGGCAGAGAGGAACGGUACCCCGGGAAGAAGGAAAGUGCAGAACUAACAUUCAGACCAUGACAACACAACACUGGGAACACAUUUUGUACCGGGUGUAUCGUCCAUGUAUUUUUGGCUAAGUCUUCCUACCUAAAAUUGUGAU